GCAACCGAUAGAGCGUUGCCCUCCGAAGGCAGAGGUCACAGGUUCGAAUCCUGUCGGGUGCG
This 62-nucleotide transfer RNA is filed under the name Mesorhizobium loti. RNAcentral's name for it is "tRNA-Arg". It matches the Rfam family "tRNA", at positions 12 to 71 of the family's 71-position model. Rfam says of the family: Transfer RNA (tRNA) molecules are approximately 80 nucleotides in length. Lineage: Bacteria; Pseudomonadati; Pseudomonadota; Alphaproteobacteria; Hyphomicrobiales; Phyllobacteriaceae. The record is from RNAcentral.